AGUGAACGCUGGCGGUAGGCCUAACACAUGCAAGUCGAACGGCAGCACAGUAAGAGCUUGCUCUUACGGGUGGCGAGUGGCGGACGGGUGAGGAAUACAUCGGAAUCUACUUUUUCGUGGGGGAUAACGUAGGGAAACUUACGCUAAUACCGCAUACGACCUACGGGUGAAAGCAGGGGAUCUUCGGACCUUGCGCGAUUGAAUGAGCCGAUGUCGGAUUAGCUAGUUGGCGGGGUAAAGGCCCACCAAGGCGACGAUCCGUAGCUGGUCUGAGAGGAUGAGCAGCCACACUGGAACUGAGACACGGUCCAGACUCCUACGGGAGGCAGCAGUGGGGAAUAUUGGACAAUGGGCGCAAGCCUGAUCCAGCCAUACCGCGUGGGUGAAGAAGGCCUUCGGGUUGUAAAGCCCUUUUGUUGGGAAAGAAAAGCAGCAGGUUAAUACCCCGCUGUUCUGACGGUAGCCAAAGAAUAAGCACCGGCUAACUUCGUG
RNAcentral lists this ribosomal RNA (492 nucleotides) under uncultured bacterium. Its description in RNAcentral is "partial 16S ribosomal RNA". It matches the Rfam family "Bacterial small subunit ribosomal RNA", at positions 29 to 507 of the family's 1533-position model. The record is from RNAcentral.